RNAcentral lists this ribosomal RNA (1196 nucleotides) under uncultured bacterium. RNAcentral describes it as "bacterial SSU rRNA". It matches the Rfam family "Bacterial small subunit ribosomal RNA", at positions 93 to 1286 of the family's 1533-position model. The record is from RNAcentral.
GAGCGGCGAACGGGUGAGUAAUGCAUCGGAACAUGUCCAUUCGUGGGGGAUAGCUCGGCGAAAGCCGAAUUAAUACCGCAUACGCCCUGAGGGGGAAAGUGGGGGACCGCAAGGCCUCACGCGAUUGGGUUGGCCGAUGUCCGAUUAGCUAGUUGGCGGGGUAAGAGCCCACCAAGGCGAUGAUCGGUAGCUGGUCUGAGAGGAUGAUCAGCCACACUGGGACUGAGACACGGCCCAGACUCCUACGGGAGGCAGCAGUGGGGAAUUUUGGACAAUGGGGGAAACCCUGAUCCAGCCAUUCCGCGUGAGUGAAGAAGGCCUUCGGGUUGUAAAGCUCUUUUGUCCGGAACGAAACGGUUAGCGUGAAUAUCGCUGACUACUGACGGUACCGGAAGAAUAAGCACCGGCUAACUACGUGCCAGCAGCCGCGGUAAUACGUAGGGUGCGAGCGUUAAUCGGAAUUACUGGGCGUAAAGCGUGCGCAGGCGGUUUUGUAAGCCAGAUGUGAAAUCCCCGGGCUUAACCUGGGAAUGGCAUUUGGGACUGCAAGGCUGGAGUUUGGCAGAGGAGACUGGAAUUCCUGGUGUAGCAGUGAAAUGCGUAGAUAUCAGGAGGAACACCGAUGGCGAAGGCAGGUCUCUGGGCUGAAACUGACGCUCAAGCACGAAAGCGUGGGGAGCAAACAGGAUUAGACACCCUGGUAGUCCACGCCCUAAACGAUGUCGACUGGUUGUUGGGGGUUUGACACUCUCAGUAACGAAGCUAACGCGUGAAGUCGACCGCCUGGGGAGUACGGCCGCAAGGUUAAAACUCAAAGGAAUUGACGGGGACCCGCACAAGCGGUGGAUUAUGUGGAUUAAUUCGAUGCAACGCGAAAAACCUUACCUACCCUUGACAUGUCCGAGAGCCCGCAGAGAUGUGGGUGUGCCCGAAAGGGAAUCGGAACACAGGUGCUGCAUGGCUGUCGUCAGCUCGUGUCGUGAGAUGUUGGGUUAAGUCCCGCAACGAGCGCAACCCUUGUCAUUAGUUGCUACAUUCAGUUGGGCACUCUAAUGAGACUGCCGGUGACAAACCGGAGGAAGGUGGGGAUGACGUCAAGUCCUCAUGGCCCUUAUGGGUAGGGCUUCACACGUAAUACAAUGGCGCGUACAGAGGGUUGCCAAGGAGCGAUCUGGAGCCAAUCCCGUAAAGCGCGU